GGUUUAUCUGAUGCCUCUCCAUCUACUCUCAUCCACGGAUGCUCAAGAACUUGGCCUGACGUUAGUCGUUUUUUCGGAUCUUGAGUCAACAUCUUUCUGACGAUAUCUUUAGCGCUGUGAGAUAUAGAUGGCCAUGGAGCACUUUCAAAGUCAAUCUUACCUUUCAAGAUCUCAUCAAAUAUUCCUUUCUCACUUUCAGCCCAGAAUGGUGGCACACCGCUGAGAAGAAUAUACAAAAUAACACCCGCGCUCCAAACAUCGAUCUCCUUUCCGUAACUACGCCGUAGAACUUCAGGAGCAACAUAGUAAGCACUUCCCACUAUGUCUCUGUACACUUUACCUUCCUCAAUGAAGACCGAGAGCCCGAAAUCCGUCGCCUUGAGCAUUGCUUCUUCAUCCUUGGUCGCAAGCAAGAAGUUCUCAGGCUUGAGGUCCCGAUGCAUCACCCCCAUGAAAUGGCAGAUGUGCACCACAUUCACAAUCGCCCGACACAUAGUCGCCGCAGCACGCUCCGAGUAAUGCCCCUUAGCAAUAAUCCUGUCAAACAGCUCCCCACCAGCACAGAGCUCCAUAACAACGUGCACUGAGUUCUUAUCCUCGAAGGCCCCCUUGAAUUCCACGAUAUUUGGCUGACCACUCAGAUGUUGCAUGAUCUGGAUCUCCCUCUUGAUAUCCUCCCUAUCAUUCUUGUUGACAAGCUUCCGCUUUGAUAUGGACUUACAUGCAUAUUUCAGCCCGGUGGCAUUCUCGGUGCAGAGGUAGGUGAUACCAAACUGCCCUCGGCAAGGAACUCGGCAGGGGG
This 802-nucleotide unclassified non-coding RNA is filed under the name Hevea brasiliensis (rubber tree). Lineage: Eukaryota; Viridiplantae; Streptophyta; Magnoliopsida; Malpighiales; Euphorbiaceae. The record is from RNAcentral.